AGAGUUUGAUUAUGGCUCAGAGCGAACGCUGGCGGCAGGCCUAACACAUGCAAGUCGAGCGGACGUAGCAAUACGUCAGCGGCAGACGGGAGAGUAACACGUGGGAACGACCCUUCAGUUCGGAACAACCAAGGGAAACUGGCUAAUACCGGAUACGUCCGAAAGGAGAAAGAUUUAUCGCUGAAGGAUCGGCCCGCGUCUGAUUAGCUAGUUGGGAGGAAGGCUCACCAAGGCGACGACGGGUAGGGGGCCUGAGAGGGUGACCCCCCACACUGGGACUGAGACACGGCCCAGACUCCUACGGGAGGCAGCAGUAAGGGAUCUUGCGACAAUGGGCGAAAGCUGACGCAGCAACGCCGCGGCGGGAGACGGCCCGGGUUGAAACCGCUUUUCGGGGGGAAGAGGAAGGACGGUAAGUGGGGAAUAAGUCCGGCUAACUACGUGCCAGCAGCCGCGGUAAAACGUAGGAGGCAAACGUUACCGGAGACGGGCGUAAAGAGCGCGCAGGCGGGCGAUAAGUGGGUCGGAAAGCUCCCGGCAAACUGGGAGAGGACGAUUCAGACUGUCGGGCUAGAGGAUGGAGAGGGGCGUGGAAUUCCGGGUGUAGCGGUGAAAUGUGUAGAGACCGGAGAACACCAGUGGUGCAGACGGCGCCCUGGGCACACCUGACGCUGAGACGCGACASACGGGGGAGCGAACGGGAUUAGAAACCCCGUAGUCGUGCGAAACGAGCAGCUAGACGCGCGAGAGGAACGGGUGUCGUAGGCAACCCGAUAAGCUGGCCGCCU
This 788-nucleotide ribosomal RNA is filed under the name uncultured bacterium. Its description in RNAcentral is "bacterial SSU rRNA". It matches the Rfam family "Bacterial small subunit ribosomal RNA", at positions 9 to 873 of the family's 1533-position model. The record is from RNAcentral.